UGCUGCAUUAUGCCAUGGGUUG
This 22-nucleotide unclassified non-coding RNA is filed under the name Mus musculus (house mouse). RNAcentral describes it as "oocyte_clustered_small_RNA11643". Lineage: Eukaryota; Metazoa; Chordata; Mammalia; Rodentia; Muridae. The record is from RNAcentral.